CCCUUAGAUGUUCUGGGCCGCACGCGCGCUACACUGAUGAAUGCAACGAGCUCUACCCUUGACCGAAAGGCCCGGGUAAACUUGUGAAACUUCAUCGUGAUGGGGAUAGAUUAUUGCAAUUAUUAAUCUUCAACGAGGAAUCCCUAGUAAGCGCGAGUCAUCAGCUCGCGUUGAUUACGUCCCUGCCCUUUGUACACACCGCCCGUCGCUCCUACCGAUUGAAUGGUCCGGUGAAAUCUUCGGAUUGCUGACCAAGAUCCAGCAAUGGAGCUUGGUUGCGAGAAGUUGAUUAAACCUUAUUAUUUAGAGGAAGGAGAAGUCGUAACA
This 327-nucleotide ribosomal RNA is filed under the name uncultured eukaryote. Its description in RNAcentral is "partial 18S ribosomal RNA". It matches the Rfam family "Eukaryotic small subunit ribosomal RNA", at positions 1470 to 1796 of the family's 1831-position model. The record is from RNAcentral.